RNAcentral lists this long non-coding RNA (700 nucleotides) under Androctonus crassicauda. Lineage: Eukaryota; Metazoa; Arthropoda; Arachnida; Scorpiones; Buthidae. The record is from RNAcentral.
CUGUGCAUGUGCAACACAUAUAGCUUCGCUUUGGCAUCUGCAUUCCUAAAUUGAAAUGUCGACUCAUCAUGUGAUACGUUUUGAAUGGAUUUCAUUUGAAUACACCACCUCUCUACAUAAAUGGUUAAUAAUAGUGGGAGUGUGAUGGUAUUAGAGACAGUUUAUGUCCUACAGUAUGACAUACAGUAUGUCUUUAAUAUAACCAUUGGAAUUAAAAAUUUGAAUUGGCUGAAUACUAUUGUUGAUUAUGUGAUGGCUUUACUCAUUCAGACGAACAUUUCUAAUUUGAUAAUGCAGAUUCUCACAAGUUACAUAUCACCAAAUGCUUUAGGGAUGAUAUAAACUUUUAUUAAUUCAAUGGCUUACAUACUCUUCAGAUAUCAGCCUUACAGAACAUCUUUGGGAUAUAGUGGAAAAGACUAUCCCUAAUAAGAUUAUGCCAUCAUCUAAUUUACAAUAACUGUGCAUUACAAUCAUUUUGUAUGACACAAUAUUCUGUAUAACACAUCAAGCAUCUUGUGGAAUCCAUGUCAAUAUGAAUUCAGACUGUUCUUAAGGCCAAAAGAGGUAAAAUAUAGUAAUAGAUAAGUGUAUCUAUAAACUCUGAUUAUAGUGAAUACUAAAUAUCAGAGUUUACACUAAUCAAUAUUCAUAUCAUACUAAUCAAAGUUUUUAUCUGUUUAUAGUUUACAUAUGAUCC